This 1349-nucleotide ribosomal RNA is filed under the name uncultured bacterium. RNAcentral's name for it is "bacterial SSU rRNA". It matches the Rfam family "Bacterial small subunit ribosomal RNA". The record is from RNAcentral.
UCCUAGUGAUUAGAGUUUGAUCAUGGCUCAGGAUGAACGCUGGCGGCGUGCUUAACACAUGCAAGUCGAACGAACCUUCGGGUUAGUGGCGGACGGGUGAGUAACGCGUGAGAAUCUGCCCUCAGGAGGGGGAUAACGGUUGGAAACGACCGCUAAUACCCCAUAUGCCGAUAGGUGAAAUGAAUUUCGCCUGAGGAUGAGCUCGCGUCUGAUUAGCUAGUUGGUGAGGUAAUGGCUCACCAAGGCUUCGAUCAGUAGCUGGUCUGAGAGGAUGAUCAGCCACACUGGGACUGAGACACGGCCCAGACUCCUACGGGAGGCAGCAGUGGGGAAUUUUCCGCAAUGGGCGAAAGCCUGACGGAGCAACGCCGCGUGAGGGACGAAGGCCUCUGGGCUGUAAACCUCUUUUCUCAAGGAAGAAGAUAUGACGGUACUUGAGGAAUAAGCCACGGCUAAUUCCGUGCCAGCAGCCGCGGUAAUACGGGAGUGGCAAGCGUUAUCCGGAAUUAUUGGGCGUAAAGCGUCCGCAGGCGGCUUAUCAAGUCUGCUGUUAAAGCGUGGAGCUUAACUCCAUCAUGGCAGUGGAAACUGAUAGGCUUGAGUAUGGUAGGGGCAGAGGGAAUUCCCGGUGUAGCGGUGAAAUGCGUAGAUAUCGGGAAGAACACCAGUGGCGAAGGCGCUCUGCUGGGCCAUUACUGACGCUCAUGGACGAAAGCCAGGGGAGCGAAAGGGAUUAGAUACCCCUGUAGUCCUGGCCGUAAACGAUGAACACUAGGUGUCGGGGGAAUCGACCCCUUCGGUGUCGUAGCUAACGCGUUAAGUGUUCCGCCUGGGGAGUACGCACGCAAGUGUGAAACUCAAAGGAAUUGACGGGGGCCCGCACAAGCGGUGGAGUAUGUGGUUUAAUUCGAUGCAACGCGAAGAACCUUACCAGGGUUUGACAUCCUGCGAACCUCUUAGAAAUUUGAGGGUGCCUUCGGGAAUGCAGUGACAGGUGGUGCAUGGCUGUCGUCAGCUCGUGUCGUGAGAUGUUGGGUUAAGUCCCGCAACGAGCGCAACCCACGUUUUUAGUUGCCAGCAUUUAGUUGGGCACUCUAGAAAGACCGCCGGUGAUAAACCGGAGGAAGGUGUGGAUGACGUCAAGUCAUCAUGCCCCUUACACCCUGGGCUACACACGUACUACAAUGCUACGGACAAAGGGCAGCAAACUCGCGAGAGCUAGCAAAUCCCAUAAACCGUGGCUCAGUUCAGAUCGUAGGCUGCAACUCGCCUACGUGAAGUAGGAAUCGCUAGUAAUCGCAGGUCAGCAUACUGCGGUGAAUACGUUCCCGGGCCUUGUACACACCGCC